Molecule: ribosomal RNA, 301 nt
Filed under: uncultured bacterium
Lineage: Bacteria
Description: partial 16S ribosomal RNA
Rfam family: Bacterial small subunit ribosomal RNA
Source: RNAcentral
CAGCAGCCACGGGAAUACGGAGGGCGCGAGCGUUACCCGGAUUUACUGGGCGUAAAGCGUGCGUAGGUGGUGGUUUAAGUCCGUUGUGAAAGCCCUGGGCUCAACCUGGGAAUUGCAGUGGAUACUGGGUCACUAGAGUGUGGUAGAGGAUAGUGGAAUUUCCGGUGUAGCAGUGAAAUGCGUAGAGAUCGGAAGGAACAUCUGUGGCGGAGGCGACUAUCUGGGCCAACACUGACACUGAGGCACGAAAGCGUGGGGAGCAAACAGGAUUAGAUACCCCUGUAGUCCCUGUCUCUUAUAC